RNA transcript from Sapajus apella (tufted capuchin), 2717 nucleotides. It is a transcript of the gene named glycerol kinase pseudogene, with no coding region annotated. The transcript has a single exon. Lineage: Eukaryota; Metazoa; Chordata; Mammalia; Primates; Cebidae. The record is from RefSeq and is a predicted model, not a curated record.
CGUUCAGGGGACACGCGGGCCUCCCUCUCAGAACUCGCCCCUCCCCCACGCGCCGCCGUCACCCGGGAAACCGGCCGCAAUCACCCGCAGACCUGAAGCUGGUUUCAUGGCAGCCUCAAAUAAGGCAGUUUUGGGGCCAUUGGUGGGGGCAGUGGACCAGGGCACCAGUUCGACACGCUUUUUGGUUUUCAAUUCAAAAACAGCUGAACUGCUCAGUCAUCAUCAAGUGGAACUAAAACAAGAGUUUCCCAGAGAAGGAUGGGUGGAACAAGACCCUAAGGAAAUUCUGCAUUCUGUCUAUGAGUGUAUAGAGAAAACAUGUGAGAAACUCGGACAGCUCAAUAUUGAUAUUUCCAACAUCAAAGCUAUUGGCGUCAGCAACCAGAGAGAAACCACUGUAGUCUGGGACAAGUUAACUGGAGAGCCUCUCUACAAUGCUGUGGUGUGGCUUGAUCUAAGAACACAGUCUACUGUUGAGAAUCUUGGUAAAAGAAUUCCAAGAAAUAAUAACUUUGUCAAGUCCAAGACAGGCCUUCCACUUAGCACUUACUUCAGCGCUGUGAAACUUCGUUGGCUCCUUGACAAUGUGAGAAAAGUUCAAAAGGCUGUUGAAGAAAAACGAGCGCUUUUUGGGACUAUUGAUUCAUGGCUUAUCUGGAGUUUGACGGGAGGAGUCAAUGGAGGUGUCCACCAUACGGAUGUAACAAACGCAAGUAGGACUAUGCUUUUCAACAUUCAUUCUUUGGAAUGGGAUAAAGAGCUCUGUGAAUUUUUUGGAAUUCCAAUGGAAAUUCUUCCAAAUGUCCGGAGUUCUUCUGAGAUCUAUGGCCUAAUGAAAGCUGGGGCCCUGGAAGGUGUGCCAAUAUCUGGGUGUUUAGGGGACCAGUCUGCUGCAUUGGUGGGACAAAUGUGCUUCCAGAAUGGACAAGCCAAAAAUACGUAUGGAACAGGAUGUUUCUUGCUGUGUAAUACAGGCCAUACGUGUGUGUUUUCUGAUCAUGGCCUUCUCACCACAGUGGCUUACAAACUUGGCAGAGACAAACCGGUAUAUUAUGCAUUGGAAGGUUCUGUAGCUAUAGCUGGUGCUGUUAUUCGCUGGCUAAGAGACAAUCUUGGAAUUAUAAAGACCUCAGAAGAAAUUGAAAAACUUGCUAAAGAAGUAGGCACUUCUUAUGGCUGCUACUUUGUCCCAGCAUUUUCGGGGUUAUAUGCACCUUAUUGGGAGCCCAGUGCAAGAGGGAUAAUCUGCGGACUCACUCAGUUCACCAAUAAAUGCCAUAUUGCUUUUGCUGCCUUAGAAGCUGUUUGUUUCCAAACUCGAGAGAUUCUGGAUGCCAUGAAUCGAGACUGUGGAAUUCCACUCAGCCAUUUGCAGGUAGAUGGAGGAAUGACCAGCAACAAAAUUCUUAUGCAGUUACAAGCAGACAUUCUGUAUAUUCCGGUAGUGAGAUCCCUGAUGCCUGAAACCACUGCACUGGGUGCUGCCAUGGCAGCAGGGGCUGCGGAAGGAGUCGGCGUGUGGAGUCUCGAACCUGAGGAUUUGUCCACCGUCACGAUGGAACGGUUUGAACCUCAGAUUAAUGCUGAGGAAAGUGAAAUUCGUUAUUCUACAUGGAAGAAAGCAGUGAUGAAGUCAAUGGGUUGGGUUACAACUCAAACUCCAGAAAGUGGUGACCCUUGUAUCUUCUGCAGUCUGCCCUUGGGCUUUUUUAUAGUGAGUAGCAUGGUAAUGUUAAUUGGAGCAAGGUACAUCUCAGGUAUCCCAUAAAUAUUACCAACUCAUGGAUUCCCAAGAUGCGAGCUUCUUACAUAAUGAAAGAAUCCAGCAAUUCUGUCUCUUAAUGCGAUGACACUGUUCAUAGACUUUGAGUUUAUUUAUAAGCCGCUUGCUGCAUGACCCUCCAAGUAGACCUGUGGCUUAAAAUAAAGAAAAUACAGCAAAAACAAUGCUAUGGAAACAUCUGUGAUUUCUUUCUUUUUUUUAAUUUUUUAACAUCUACAGUUAAGGUUAGGCCAGCUACCCUUGGGACUGACCCCCUCCAUUGCCGUAACAUCUUUCUCCAUUCCCUCUAAGAUCUAGGAAGAAUUCGGAUCCUACUAUUGAAAUCUUACAUCAGACAUACUCAAACACUAUUGGAUGAGGCUCUGAGUCUCUGCAUGACAUAUAUUUGAUUAAAAUAUUAUUACUAACCUGUUAAAAAUAAGCAGCUCUUUGCUUUCACUUUUCUACAUAGUAGAAGACAGCAACAUCUUCAAUGAAUGUUUGAAUAGAAACCUUUACUAAAUUAUUAAAAUAGACAUUUAGUGUUCUCACAGCUUGGAUAUUUUCCUGAAAAGUAUUUGCCAAAACUGAAAUCCUUCAGCUAUUUUCCAUGGUCCCACUAAUUAUAAUGACUUUCUGUCUGGAUCUUAUAGGAAAGGACACUUUAUUUUUUCUUCCAUCUUUCCUUUUUAUAUUUUUUACUUUGUAUGUAUAACAUACGUGCCUAUUUAUCUUAUAUACUGAGGGUAGUCCAUUUAUAAAUUAAGAGCACAUUAUAUUCAGAAGGUUCUAACAGAGCUGGUCUUAAGUGAACCACCAGGCAUAUAAAUAUGUUAGAAAACAGCUGUAUACAUUUUUGGGCAAUCGUUAUGCAUAAUAUUUACGGGGAGAAUUUUUUUCCUAAAGAGCCAACAUUUAAAAUUUAUGUUUUAAGUCAAUAAAAGAAAAUAUACUU